RNAcentral lists this long non-coding RNA (1041 nucleotides) under Physcomitrium patens. Its description in RNAcentral is "long non-coding RNA (PPAT_LNC002862)". Lineage: Eukaryota; Viridiplantae; Streptophyta; Bryopsida; Funariales; Funariaceae. The record is from RNAcentral.
AUAUGUUUGGAUGCGUCGAUAAGCUUGUAACCAUGGUUUAAUCCAAUUCUAUCGAUGCUUCCUUUUAAGAUUACAUUCUUGCUCCUCUCUAAGCAAGUUCCUUCUUUGCGCUCUUCUACGUCUUUCUCUCAACUCAUUUAUUUUCCUUGAUGCAAUGCUCUCGUUCUUAUUAACCAUAAUCUUACUUCAAAUACUACUAAAAUCGUCUUCCAUUGCCAAUUUUCUCACACGUUUGGUAAUUAAUUCGUAACAUUCAAAGCUAUUAUCACUUCUCGACAGUGGUGCCAAAAUGUGAUUGCUCGUUUUACUUAUUCCAAAUUAAUCUAAUGAAAAUAAACCCUUAUAGGAGGAUUUGAAUAUGGAGAAUGACUAGUUGCUUAAGCAUUCAUGUUAGGGUCACACAAUCAAUUACCUCCUGAAUGUAUUGUCUUUAUUUCCAAUAUCUGAACACACAAGGAAACUAUAAUCUCCUUCUCCAUCUUAUUGGUCUCUUCCUUAUAGUAAUUCAAUCAUACCAAUAACUGCUAUUUCCACCAAUAUAUUCACCCUCAUAAUCUCCAACUGUAAUACUACACCCUCACAGCUUUCAGCACACAAUUAUCCUCAUUCCAAUCACUAGAAUUCUUCACACAGAACUGCCAUUCACAUUACGGUGUUUCACAUAAACACAGACUCAUUCUCUCUGCUGAACUACAAUCAGAUUUCAACAUUCAAUCUUUCUUCUUCUCAAAUAAUACCAAUCACAUUUCCAUUCCAUAAUUCACUUCAUAAUAUUCAGAAACUCUCAAUCCUCUUAUUCAAAGAAAAUAACAAACAAAAGAAAAGAGGUAGCACCAAGCUUACCCGGCUCACAACUAUCACAAUGAUGGCACCUUAAUUAACUUCUACAACUCCUAUAUACUUUCCCGUGAUUCUCCAGAUUCUAAUCAUAAUUUUGUAAUUAACCGCUUUUAAGAACUAAAUUACUCAUCCGUCCUCCUGAAUUUCCUAUUAUAUGGACUAUUAAUAUAUUUUACUAAUAUCUUUCAAAAAUGAAUUAAU